ACACUCAAGUGCGGUCACACAUCCCAGUCAUCAGCGCCGGAAUCAAAAGGAGACAAAAAGAGGAUUGGCCAUAUGAUUGCGUACUAAAAAGAUCUGUGAGCACUUACAGUAGAUUAGCUUUUGAGUUACUCCUUUGCAUGUCAAAGGUCUCUAAUUAUGAUCAAAUAGUCAUGUAUUUUUUUUUGUCACACAAGUAUAAGGGAGAUGUACGAAUAGAAGCCCUCUGACUUGAGCAUGAUGAGCAGGGAUCCCCAGCCCAGGAGCACAGCGGAGAAAAGCAGGCUCUCGACGACUGCCGUCACCGCCAUCCACCAACGGCGGGCGAAGGCCGUGGCCAAAGUGGGCGCCAUCCCAGCCGAGUGGGAGAGGAUGCUUCACUUGUCUGGCAGGAGAGGGGGAAGGGAGGCUACAGAUGCCUGAAUGAUUAAAAACAAGGGGAGCCUAAUGAUAAACAGCACCAGCACACAACAGCUGAGCGCCGUGUGGGCGAGUGCAACCCGUCCGCACGCAAAAGAAGCCCCGCCCUCGAGAGAUCUGAUUGGGACGUGCUGAAAACAGCCCUUCGGCGAUUGGCUGUAGAUGACAUACGAAACGAAGCAGCUGCACGUGAGGAUGCUGCAGGAAAAAUAUUUUACCUUUCCAUCAAAAUAGUUUUCCUUGCACACUAUCAACAACAAAAGUAAUCUAAUCACCUCGACUUUAAAUUAAAUGAACCGCACAAGACAAUUUUGUCGACUGUUUGAUCUAGACAGUGAAUACUUGGUGUCUAAUCGAUGGGAUAUGAAUAUAACACCAGCUCCAUCCGGUUUGAACCAGCGCGGCGCGAGAAUGUUGUUGGGGGUUAGGCAUGAUAAUCAUGACGUUACUUGUUUGCCAUUUUUGGAACGUAAACAAGAACAUUGUGUGGCUCUAAAUAAGAUAAGCACAGGACAGCUCACUUUGACGCUUGAAUUGCCUCGUUCGUUGUAUUAGUGACAGAAAA
This is a long non-coding RNA of Syngnathoides biaculeatus (alligator pipefish), 982 nucleotides long. RefSeq lists it as uncharacterized. The record is from RefSeq and is a predicted model, not a curated record. The transcript is spliced from 3 exons. Lineage: Eukaryota; Metazoa; Chordata; Actinopteri; Syngnathiformes; Syngnathidae.